GUAACAAGGUCUCCGUUGGUGAACCAGCGGAGGGAUCAUUACUGAGUUAUCUAAACUCCCAACCCUUUGUGAACCUUACCGUCGUUGCCUCGGCGGGCUGUACUUACCCUGUAGCUACCCUGUAGCUACCCGGUAGGUGCGCUCCAAGCCCGCCGGUGGACCACUAAAUUCUAUUUUACUACUGUAUCUCUGAAUGCUUCAACUUAAUAAGUUAAAACUUUCAACAACGGAUCUCUUGGUUCUGGCAUCGAUGAAGAACGCAGCGAAAUGCGAUAAGUAAUGUGAAUUGCAGAAUUCAGUGAAUCAUCGAAUCUUUGAACGCACAUUGCGCCCAUUAGUAUUCUAGUGGGCAUGCCUAUUCGAGCGUCAUUUCAACCCUUAAGCCUAGUUGCUUAGUGUUGGGAAUCUGCCCUGUAUUUAUAGGGCAGUUCCUUAAAGUGAUCGGCGGAGUUAGGGCAUACUCUAAGCGUAGUAAUAUUCUUCUCGCUUCUGUAGUUGUCCUGGCGGCUUGCCGUUAAACCCCUAUAUUUCUAGUGGUUGACCUCGGAUUAGGUAGGAAUACCCGCUGAACUUAAGCAUAUC
RNAcentral lists this ribosomal RNA (582 nucleotides) under Tricholoma matsutake. RNAcentral describes it as "eukaryotic LSU rRNA". The stretch from base 216 to 369 matches the Rfam family "5.8S ribosomal RNA". Lineage: Eukaryota; Fungi; Basidiomycota; Agaricomycetes; Agaricales; Tricholomataceae. The record is from RNAcentral.